GUGGACAAAUCAGAUGCAGGAAACCUUGAACUCUAAGCAACAAGGAGAUGCUGCUUUCCGAGCCAAGGAUUUCAUAACAGCCAUUGAAUGCUACACACAGUUCAAUGAUGGAGGGACCAUGGUGUCACCCACCAUAUACGCGAGGCGCUGCUUGUGUUAUCUGAUGAGCGACAUGGCACAAGAAGCUUUAGGAGAUGCAAUGCAAGCUCAGGUUAUAUCCUCUGAGUGGCCUACCGCCUUUUAUCUCCAGUCUGUUGCCCUUUUUACCCUUGGGAUGGAGAAUGAUGCUCAAGAAGCACUAAAAGAAGCCACAAAGUUGGAAGGCAAAAGGAGCAAAAAUUAAAAUACUAGUGUGUAGACUUACAUUUCUUGAUUUUUCAAGUUUCUUGUGAUGAUAUAAAGUUGUUACUAUGUCAAUAGUUUAUUUCUAAACUAAAUUACUUUUGAUUUUGUGCUCACAUUCUGUCAAGGCAUUGGAGAAUUAUAGAUUGCCCCUUUUGUUCUUG
This 506-nucleotide unclassified non-coding RNA is filed under the name Hevea brasiliensis (rubber tree). The record is from RNAcentral. Lineage: Eukaryota; Viridiplantae; Streptophyta; Magnoliopsida; Malpighiales; Euphorbiaceae.